Molecule: long non-coding RNA, 3136 nt
Organism: Phacochoerus africanus (Common warthog)
Lineage: Eukaryota; Metazoa; Chordata; Mammalia; Artiodactyla; Suidae
Exons: 6
Source: RefSeq, a predicted model, not a curated record
GCACGGCCCCGCGGUCAGUUCCCAGUCCCCGAGUCCCCAGAGCCCCGGUGCCCCGGGAAUGGGGAAUGCGCGGGGCCGAAGGAAUCCUCCCGGGGAGAUCAGCCUGGCCUCGGACCCUCCCUGGGACGCAGUGGACGCGACGCCUGGAGGAGGAGAGGAGAGGGCUGAGCGCUCCUCAUAGACCCUGAGGGGCUGUGGCCCAAAGGGUGUCGCUGGAGUUCUCCUGCUCAGGAACGAAUCUGAGGACAGGCAACAUCUUGGUGAUGCUCCAGACUUUCCGGCUGACUUGGUUUAGAGGACCUGUGGGAUGUGCUGAGAAGGAGGACUGGGGGAGAGCCCUGAGGACGGAUCGCAGAGAACCAGGACGAGCAUCAGGAGUCGGCAUGAUUAUGAAGUUACUGUCUCUGAGCUCCCAGCCCGCCUUCCUGUGCUCUGCUUUGUGCCGGAUCCCCUUGUGAAGAAUGGCAGAACAGGAGAAGAAGGAAAUCGGGAGACACCAGGCCUUUCUUAGAGCUGAGACAGAGAAGGGACCCUCUAGGGCCACAUCAGCACUCACCUCACACAUACGACCGGAUGAGAGAGGGAGGCUGGAACUUGUCUUUGAAAUCACAGCAGCUUCCUAGAAUCCGAGGUAUGGGAAUGCUGCGGUUCCUGAAAAAUGUAGCAGCAACCACAGCGCCUGAAGUAGGAACGCUUCCCAUCAUUUCAUCCCAGGAAUCUGUCUCCGAGACAAUUCUAGCUUCAAUAGCCCCAUCCUUUGUCCAGGACUGUGCCUUCUUGCUGGGAAACUUCCUCCUUGGGCCUUCAUCUUAUUGGACUUUCCUCUUGAGGACAGCUCUGUGCCGACACCCAGGGCUGUGAGGGGAGGGAGGGGAAAGCUGCAGGAGUGUGGGUCCGUGACGCUCACCACUGAGCCAAGCACCAGUAUCAGACAACCGCGCACGCCGACAGGAGCCCCGACUCGGUCCUGCUAAGUGUGGAUGUGCGGGCGCGCGCAAACACACACACGCACUACACACAACCUGUCACACUCAGACACACGAUCCUCCUCUGCUCCUCCAGCCCCCACAGGCCCGAGGCUGCAAACACAAUGGGCCCGGGGCUCCACACUUUGGGGGCAGCUCCACUCCCACCCCUACCCCAGGUGAGUCCUGCUCCGCCUCGCCUGGCUCCCACUUCUCCCCAGGCUUCCAUUAACUCACCUGCGGUGGCUGAGCCACCCAGAACGCACGGUUGAGGGCCCUCAGGGUCCAAGUUUACGCCUCCCCUGGGGCUUCUGGGAAAUGUAGUCCACAGCCGGAAGGAGAUGUGCUCGGGCUUUGAGUGCGCAGGCGCAUGUGCGCCGCGCGGAUCUGGCGUCUCUGGUCGGCCCGCGGAGAUGGCUGACCAGCGCUGUAAGCCGAGCGACCUCCAGACGGGAGCGGUCCGGCAGGUGCGAGCCUCUCGGGACCCUCAGAGUGCUGCGCCGCCGAGUGCAGCCGUGGGUGCAGCCCUGAGGCCAAGCGCGUAGGGACGGAUUCUGUCGGUUUCUUCCCUGAGGUAGUCCGGGAGCCUGGUGCACAGAGUGGAACAGAGAAAAAAGGAAAAUGCUUGCUUUAAAGAUUCUACUUCCAAAAGGUAUGAGUGCCUAGGCUCUUCAGCAAAGUGGCCCCUUUCUCGCAACAUGGUAGCAUGUAAUUGAGUAUCGAAAAAAAGCAGCCCCUGAGAUGCAAGAACUGACCUGCCACUUACAGCCAGCCCUCCAGAGCUGCAGUUCGGCAUCUGUGGAUUCAUCCAACCAUGCAUCAUGUGACAAAAGUCCAGGUAUAAAUGAACUCUCGCACUUGAAGCCCCUGUUGUUCCAGGGUCAACUGUGUUUCUAUUGAACUCUGCCAGUCUAAAACCUUGCUCUCAGGACAACAGGCAAAAUCUCCCAGAUUAGUACUAAGACUGUAGUUAUAUUCACACCUUCUCUGAUCUCUUCAGCCUCAACCCCUGGACCAGCCCAGCCCCUCCUCAGCCAGCCAGCCAGCAUUCAUUUUCUGAGCACCUAUCACAAUUCAGUUACUGGGUGGAUACCAGAAACAAAGUUCCCUUAGUCACAGUCAGCUCACAACUCCUUAAAAGAAUUCUUUCCUACCCCCUGGCCUUUGCAAAUGCUAUUCCUGCUGUCUUGGAUGCCCCCUCCCAACGGUGUGCCUGACAGACUCCUCACGCCUCUCUUCCUCUGCAAAUUGGAUUGACAGCCCUCCUUUAGGGCAGUCCCACUACCUGUCUUGCUUCCUUGGAGGUUGGCUAGUCUGCGGACUGUCCCCACCCCAGCUCACCACCAACCAUGACCCCCUCACUCACGUGGCUUCCACGACAGGGGCCUCCUCACAUCCUGGAGCACUAAGCACACUCCCGCCUCAAGGCCACCAGCCCUCAGCCUGACACGCUCCCCCUCUCAAGGCUUCUUCUAGGUCUUUACGUAAAUAUCACCUCAGAAAAGUCUCCCCUGCCAACCUCCAGUCCUAGCGCUAAAGUUGCAGCCUCUGAUACUCCCUGUGCCCCUGCCCUGGCUUAGGUGUUCUCUCCGGGCACAAGACAUCCCAUCUGUUCACUUCUCGUUUAAGCACAUCCUCAACGGAGACACUGCCUCCGGGAGGAACAGACACUGUUCUGCUCACGGUCAUGGCUUCCGCACCUAGAACACAGUGUGGAACAUACCGGGUGCUUGGUAGUUAUUAAUGGAAUGACUGAGGUCUAAGUGUUUACUUUCCUCUUUCCCAGCCACACCAGGAGACCCCCCAGCGCAGGGGACACAGCUGACUCAUCAUGUACCCCAGCACCUGGGGGAGCAGAAGACCAAUGAACUGCUGAGCAAAUGGAUGAUCAUGACAAUGGCUAACAUUUCCUGUCCUCUUACUAGAAGCCAGGUAUAGUUCUAAAAGGUUUCUGUUCAUUUAGUCCUCUGAACAAUUCAGAAAAUUAGGAAACAGUCACAGGGAGGCUAACUUGCUGAGUCGUAACACAAACUAGGUGAUUAGCACCAACUUACAGAAAUAGUUGUGGGGGGGCCAGAUUUCAAACCCGGGUAAGUUUGGCCCAGAAAACACACUGCUCCCCCACUGCCCUCUACUGCUCCCCAGCUAAUAUAUGUUAAGAUUUUAAGAUA